AUGACGCAGGUGGCGGCGGUAUCGGCCGACAUCGUCCUCCACAACGCGUUUGUCGUCACCAUGGACGGCGCCCUCACGGUCCUCCGGGACGGCGCCAUCGCCGUCGUGGGCGACCGCAUCGCCGCCGUGGGCCCUUCGGCGGACGUCCUUGGCGCCUUCCCCGGCGCCGCGCAGACCCUCAACCUCGGGGGUCGUAUCCUCCUUCCCGGGUUUGUGAACACCCACGUGCACACGUCGCAGCAGCUGGCGCGGGGGAUCGCCGACGACGUCGACCUGAUGACGUGGCUGCACGGGAGGAUCUGGCCCUAUGAAUCUCACAUGACGGAGGAGGACUCCUACGCCUCCACACUCCUCUGCGGCAUCGAGCUCAUCCGAUCUGGGGUAACAUGCUUUGCCGAAGCAGGUGGGCAGUAUGUUUCAGAAAUGGCACGGGCGGUGGAAUUGCUGGGAUUGCGUGCAUGCUUGACAAAGUCAACAAUGGACUGUGGUGAUGGGUUACCUCCAAACUGGAGUUCUUGUUCUACCGACGACUGCAUUCAGUCACAGAAGGAUCUAUAUGAAAAGCAUCAUAACACAGCUGAUGGGCGAAUCAGGAUAUGGUUUGGGUUGAGACAGAUCAUGAAUGCGACAGAUCGGUUACUGCUUGAAACAAGGGAUGCUGCACAGGAACUGAAUACUGGAAUCCAUAUGCAUAUUGCGGAAAUACCAUAUGAAAAUCAGCUUGUAAUGCGGAUGAAGAAAAUUGAUCAUGGGACAGUUACAUAUUUAGAGAAAAUUGAUUUUCUGAGGAGUAAUUUGCUGGCUGCCCAUUCUGUUUGGUUGAAUGAGUCUGAGAUAAGUCAUUUUUCAAACGCUGGUGUCAAGGUUUCUCAUUGCCCAGCAUCUGCCAUGAGAAUGUUGGGGUUUGCUCCUAUUAGGGAAAUGCUGGAUUCUGGUGUUUGUGUCUCUCUCGGUACCGAUGGAGCACCAAGCAAUAACAGAAUGAGCAUUGUUGAUGAGAUGUACCUAGCCUCCCUUAUUAACAAAGGGCGUGAGGCCUAUAUCAGUGGUACAACAAACCCAACCGUGUUUCCUUCUGAGACUCUGCUGACGAUGGCUACUAUUAAUGGUGCAAAAGCGGUUCUGUGGGAUAAUGAAAUAGGCUCUCUGGAGGUUGGCAAAAAGGCGGACCUGAUUGUGGUGAAUCCAUUUAAGUGGUCCAUGCUUCCGUUACAUGACAGCAUUGCCAACAUUGUUUAUUGCAUGCGGUCAGAAAAUAUCGAAUCUGUUAUGUGCAAUGGCCAAUGGAUUAUGAAGGAUCAGAAGAUUAUGAAUGUAAAUGAGGAGGAGGUAAUUUCUUCAGCAGUAAAGAGAGCAACUGCCCUCCUAGCGCGAGCUGGCAUCAAUCUCCCUGAAAGGAUGAACUACUUGUGA
RNAcentral lists this ribosomal RNA (1413 nucleotides) under Triticum aestivum (bread wheat). Its description in RNAcentral is "partial small subunit ribosomal RNA". Lineage: Eukaryota; Viridiplantae; Streptophyta; Magnoliopsida; Poales; Poaceae. The record is from RNAcentral.